RNAcentral lists this ribosomal RNA (1198 nucleotides) under uncultured bacterium. RNAcentral's name for it is "bacterial SSU rRNA". It matches the Rfam family "Bacterial small subunit ribosomal RNA", at positions 31 to 1255 of the family's 1533-position model. The record is from RNAcentral.
GAACGCUGGCGGCGUGCCUAAUACAUGCAAGUCGAACGGGGAGUAUUUACUUCGGUUUUUACUCCUAGUGGCGAACGGGUGAGUAACGCGUUGGUGACCUGCCCCGAAGCGGGGGAUAACUCCGCGAAAGCGGAGCUAAUACCCCAUGUGGUCGUACUGGUUAGAGGCUGUACGACUAAAGGAGUAAUCCACUUCGGGAGGGGCCUGCGUCCCAUCAGCUAGUUGGUAAGGUAACGGCCUACCAAGGCGAAGACGGGUAGGGGACCUGAGAGGGUGGCCCCCCACACUGGCACUGAAACACGGGCCAGACAUCUACGGAUGGCAGCAGUAGGGAAUAUUGCACAGUGGGCGAAAGCCUGAUGCAGCAACGCCGCGUGCGCGAAGAAGGCCUUCGGGUUGUAAAGCGCUUUUCUGGAGGAAGAGGAAGGACGGUACUCCAGGAAUAAGGAUCGGCUAACUACGUGCCAGCAGCCGCGGUAACACGUAGGAUCCGAGCGUUAUCCGAAUUUACUGGGCGUAAAGCGCGUGUAGGCGGCCGGGCAAGUUGGACGUGAAAUCUCCUGGCUCAACUAGGAGAGGUCGUUCAAAACUGCCUGGCUAGAGGGCGACAGAGGGAGGUGGAAUUCCCGGUGUAGUGGUGAAAUGCGUAGAUAUCGGGAGGAACACCAGUGGCGAAGGCGGCCUCCUGGGUCGCACCUGACGCUCAGACGCGAAAGCUAGGGGAGCGAACGGGAUUAGAUACCCCGGUAGUCCUAGCUGUAAACGAUGUGGACUUGGCGUUGAUGGGGUUAAAUCCAUCAGUGCCGUAGCUAACGCGAUAAGUCCACCGCCUGGGGACUACGGUCGCAAGAUUAAAACUCAAAGAAAUUGGCGGGGGCCCGCACAAGCAGCGGAGCGUGUGGUUUAAUUCGAUGCUACACGAAGAACCUUACCCGGGUUUGACAUCCAGGUGGUAGGGAACCGAAAGGCGACCGACCCUUCGGGGAGCCUGGACAGGUGCUGCAUGGCUGUCGUCAGCUCGUGUCGUGAGAUGUCCGGUUAAGUCCGGUAACGAGCGCAACCCUUGCUGUAUGUUAUACGUGUCAUACAGGACUGCCGGUUAGAACCGGAGGAAGGCGGGGAUGACGUCAAGUCAGCAUGGCCUUUAUAUCCGGGGCUACACACACGCUACAAUGGUCAGCACAACAGGUUGCAAAAC